Molecule: non-coding RNA, 530 nt
Organism: Pelodiscus sinensis (Chinese soft-shelled turtle)
Lineage: Eukaryota; Metazoa; Chordata; Testudines; Trionychidae
Source: RefSeq, a predicted model, not a curated record
UGUAACAGUGAUUCUGAGAUGUGCACAAAUUAGGGCGGAAAGAAGAAAACCACUACAUUUAUUGUCACCACUAUCCUACGCCAGAAUCCCAACUUUGUAUCUUAUGUGAAACCAUGGCCUGCCUGAAUGCAGCGAGGACUAGAUAGAAUCACUUUAUUCUACAGGACAGGAGGAAUCUUCAGACACAUGGAAGCCCUGGAAACACAUCACUAUUCUGGAUGGGGAGUUUCCAUAGAUUCAAUCUGAGAGAUGGGAACAGCUAUACAUUGGCUGUGCUGACUACCACCCUGUGACCAUCCUUCAUUUGGUGACCCCAGCCCAGCAGUGACCAUAGGCAAGAUUGACUGCUCCCUGGUCCCUCAGUUUGUGGAAUCUGCACUAUAGUGGCUCCAGCAAGGGCCUCAUAUGCUGUUCAGUUCUGGUGAUUCAUGGUCAACAUUGAUUGGAACAAGGCAGCUCAACUGUACCAGUUUUGGUGUGGAUUUAGUGAGGACAAAAAGGAGCUAUCCUGUACUGGGACUCUGACCAGC